AUCCAAGUUACCUAAAAGGCUAAUUCCUAAUGAGAAGGAAAGGAAACAUACCAUAAAGUAAAAGUGCAAACAAUUGCAAAACAGAGGCAAACAGUGUCAGUUGGAUAUACGUAAGCGCUGAUGUAAAGAGAGAUUGGAAAUGAUAUAUCUGGCUGGGCAGGUCACUCAUGCCUGUAAUCCCAGCACUUUGGGAGGCUGAGGCAGGCAGAUCACCUAAGGCCAGGAAUUCGACACCAGCCUGGCCAACGUGGCAAAACCCGUCUCUACUAAAAAUACAAAAAUUAGCCGGGCGUGGUGGUGUGCGCCUGGAAUCCCAGCUACCCAGGAGGCUGAGGCAGGAGAAAUGCUGGAACCCGGGAGGCAGAGGCUGCAGUGAGCUGAGAUCAUGCCACUACUGCACUCCAGCCUGGGUGACACAGCAAGACUCCCUCUAAAAAAAGAAAAAAAGAAAAGAAAAGAAAAGAAAAUGAUAUAUCCAUGAUGAAUUAAAAUGGAGUGGAACCCACUGAUGGUAUGCAGCUGAUAAGACGCUAUAGAGAAAUGAUAUCCGGACACAUGCCUGGGCAACAAGAGCGAAACCCCAUCUCAAAACCACAACAACAACAACAGGACAACAGAGAUGGACGACGGAUCGGGAAAGCCAACCAGACAGCGUGAGGCCAGGACGGAAAGAGGCACAGGGAGCUCUGCUCAGUGUCGCUACAGGGGAUCUCUCAGGCUCACAACGGGCCACUCCUCUAGGGAAGUUCUGGUCUCAUCAUGAUCCUUGUUUGGUCUCACUCCCCAUGUCCUUCUCUGUCCCUCCUCCAACUGCCAUUUAUUUAUUUAACUGAAAAAGUACCAAUCACCCACAUAGGCAUGACAUACUCAUCCAUGUACCCAUUUCUUAAAAUUGAUCAUUGUUAACAUUUGGUGUAAUUUGCUUUAUUUAUUUUUAAUGAAAUAAAUAAAACUUUACAGAAAAUGCUUUAUUUUUCUCUUUGUUCCCUCCCCAUCCUAUAUUUUUCUCCUAAAAAACCCUAUUAUCAGAAAUAUUAGUGUGUAUUCCCAGUUUCGACUUUUUAUUUUAUUACACACACACUCCCACACAUAGCUGUGACAAUGAACUUCACAUAGUAUGGUUCUGUAUUUUCUCUUUGUUUUUCAAACUUACAUAAGUAUUUUACUAUUUCUCAUGGAAAAACUCACUUUUCCCAUCCAACGUUAUGUUUCCUUAAGAUCUCUCUAUGUUGAUAUAAAGAAAUCUAGCUCAUUCUUUUUAAUGAAAAUAAAGUAUAUUUUAUGAAUGUAACUCAUGCUAACCAUGGCAAUAAAAGCUCCAUCAAGCAUGCAU
Molecule: long non-coding RNA, 1333 nt
Filed under: Homo sapiens (human)
Lineage: Eukaryota; Metazoa; Chordata; Mammalia; Primates; Hominidae
Description: HSALNT0273785
Source: RNAcentral